GAUGAACGCUGGCGGCGUGCCUAAUACAUGCAAGUCGAGCGAACGGACGAGAAGCUUGCUUCUCUGAUGUUAGCGGCGGACGGGUGAGUAACACGUGGAUAACCUACCUAUAAGACUGGGAUAACUUCGGGAAACCGGAGCUAAUACCGGAUAAUAUUUUGAACCGCAUGGUUCAAAAGUGAAAGACGGUCUUGCUGUCACUUAUAGAUGGAUCCGCGCUGCAUUAGCUAGUUGGUAAGGUAACGGCUUGCCAAGGCAACGAUGCAUAGCCGACCUGAGAGGGUGAUCGGCCACACUGGAACUGAGACACGGUCCAGACUCCUACGGGAGGCAGCAGUAGGGAAUCUUCCGCAAUGGGCGAAAGCCUGACGGAGCAACGCCGCGUGAGUGAUGAAGGUCUUCGGAUCGUAAAACUCUGUUAUUAGGGAAGAACAUAUGUGUAAGUAACUGUGCACAUCUUGACGGUACCUAAUCAGAAAGCCACGGCUAACUACGUGCCAGCAGCCGCGGUAAUACGUAGGUGGCAAGCGUUAUCCGGAAUUAUUGGGCGUAAAGCGCGCGUAGGCGGUUUUUUAAGUCUGAUGUGAAAGCCCACGGCUCAACCGUGGAGGGUCAUUGGAAACUGGAAAACUUGAGUGCAGAAGAGGAAAGUGGAAUUCCAUGUGUAGCGGUGAAAUGCGCAGAGAUAUGGAGGAACACCAGUGGCGAAGGCGACUUUCUGGUCUGUAACUGACGCUGAUGUGCGAAAGCGUGGGGAUCAAACAGGAUUAGAUACCCUGGUAGUCCACGCCGUAAACGAUGAGUGCUAAGUGUUAGGGGGUUUCCGCCCCUUAGUGCUGCAGCUAACACAUUAAGCACUCCGCCUGGGGAGUACGACCGCAAGGUUGAAACUCAAAAGAAUUGACGGGGACCCGCACAAGCGGUGGAGCAUGUGGUUUAAUUCGAAGCAACGCGAAGAACCUUACCAAAUCUUGACAUCCUUUGACAACUCUAGAGAUAGAGCCUUCCCCUUCGGGGGACAAAGUGACAGGUGGUGCAUGGUUGUCGUCAGCUCGUGUCGUGAGAUGUUGGGUUAAGUCCCGCAACGAGCGCAACCCUUAAGCUUAGUUGCCAUCAUUAAGUUGGGCACUCUAAGUUGACUGCCGGUGACAAACCGGAGGAAGGUGGGGAUGACGUCAAAUCAUCAUGCCCCUUAUGAUUUGGGCUACACACGUGCUACGAUGGACAAUACAAAGGGCAGCGAAACCGUGAGGUCAAGCAAAUCCCAUAAAGUUGUUCUCAGUUCGGAUUGUAGUCUGCAACUCGACUACAUGAAGCUGGAAUCGCUAGUAAUCGUAGAUCAGCAUGCUACGGUGAAUACGUUCCCGGGUCU
Molecule: ribosomal RNA, 1372 nt
Filed under: uncultured bacterium
Lineage: Bacteria
Description: bacterial SSU rRNA
Rfam family: Bacterial small subunit ribosomal RNA
Source: RNAcentral